RNAcentral lists this transfer RNA (74 nucleotides) under Synechococcus sp. OH2. Its description in RNAcentral is "tRNA-Met". It matches the Rfam family "tRNA". Rfam says of the family: Transfer RNA (tRNA) molecules are approximately 80 nucleotides in length. Lineage: Bacteria; Bacillati; Cyanobacteriota; Cyanophyceae; Synechococcales; Synechococcaceae. RNAcentral also lists the same sequence under 73 other names. The record is from RNAcentral.
CGCGGGGUAGAGCAGCCUGGUAGCUCGUCGGGCUCAUAACCCGAAGGUCACUGGUUCAAAUCCAGUCCCCGCUA